AUGGCUGCCAGGAAGAAGAUCGUGGUGAAGGUUGAGGUAGACGACAGCCAGAGCAGGAAGGCGAUCAAAGCACUCUCUACUCUCCGUGGUACUACUACAACUUCUCUUCUUUCCAGUUUUGUUUGUGAAUCCGUUUCUGACGUGGACAACAACGUACGGGCCUCAGGUAUCGAGGUGAUUUCUGUGAACACGAAGCAUGGGAAGAUCACGGUCGUCGGCGUGGUUAACCCCGUCGAUGUCCUGGGCAGGCUGCGGAAGAAGUUGUUUCCGAACGCUGAGAUCGUCGCCGUCGAGCCCGUCAUGGAGACGAACGAAAUUACAUACGAGUUCUUGAACCAUAUCACAAACAAUUUCUCCGAGGAGCGCAUAAUUGGUCGUGGUGGCCAUGGAGUAGUUUUCAAGGUACUGUACGAUUACUACUAG
This 423-nucleotide ribosomal RNA is filed under the name Triticum aestivum (bread wheat). RNAcentral describes it as "partial small subunit ribosomal RNA". Lineage: Eukaryota; Viridiplantae; Streptophyta; Magnoliopsida; Poales; Poaceae. The record is from RNAcentral.